UCGGUCGGCAAUGCGGUUGAGGGAGAUUUUCUCCUUAGGAAAGUCCGGGCAUCACAGGGCAAGGAUAGCUGCUAACGGCAGCCGAGGGCAACCUUAGGGCAAGUGCAACAGAAAUAGACAGCGGUUUUUAUAAGGGAAACUUUAUAUGCCGCAACGGUGGAAAGGCGAGGUAAGAGCUCACCCUUGCGUUUAGGCAAUGAAGCGCAAGCUGUAAACCCUAUCCGAUGCAACGUCAGGGGCUUUGCUCCGAUGUAAAUACCCCGCACACACGCCUGCCCGGCGGCGGGGCAAACAUAGAACGGCUUGAGCGUUUCGGCGACGAUUCGCCCAGAUAGAUUUCCGCACAACACAAAACCCGGCUUAUUGACGGGCGAACAC
This 378-nucleotide RNase P RNA is filed under the name Ruminococcus sp. RNAcentral's name for it is "RNase P RNA component class A". It matches the Rfam family "Bacterial RNase P class A". Rfam says of the family: Ribonuclease P (RNase P) is a ubiquitous endoribonuclease, found in archaea, bacteria and eukarya as well as chloroplasts and mitochondria. Its best characterised activity is the generation of mature 5'-ends of tRNAs by cleaving the 5'-leader elements of precursor-tRNAs. Cellular RNase Ps are ribonucleoproteins. The record is from RNAcentral. Lineage: Bacteria; Bacillati; Bacillota; Clostridia; Eubacteriales; Oscillospiraceae.